UGGCAGAACAAAGACAGGAAGGCUGGCAAGACCCGCUUUGACGUCAGAAGCAACUUCCUGCAUCUUUUAUGUACUUGUCAAGUGGCGAGCUCUCCAUCUUACCAAACACACAGAAGAAGCUAAACACCUAGAAAACUCAACAUGGAAAUCAAUGCAGUAACCUGCCAAUUAAUAAGAAGUCAUAACUUUUGAACAAAUCCAAGCAAUCUUAAGCCUGCAGAUGUUGACAUCGGAUAUAAUGACACGCUGUUUGAGGUUUGUUGACCACAAACAUCCUCGGGACAUGAACCCAGUAGAUUUUGUAAUGUCUGUGGGAGGGCAUCUGACUUCUAUAAACUCCUUCAGGUCUGCCUUAAGAAAAUUCAACAGACCUACUGUUAUCGAACUGGAGGUGGCACUGUGAUUUACUCAGAUCGUCUCCUCAGACUGUACUCUGUGCAAAGAGGGGCAAUUGAGAGAAUUUCAGAAAGAAUAUUCUCUCCCUCUUCAUUGAUACAAGUCACUCACCUAGACUGGAGCCCCCACUUUGUCCCUUUUGAAGGCAUCAUAUGUCUCAAUCGUGUGAGCCUUAGAAAUCCACAGCAGCUUCAACUUUGGCAGCUUCCAGAACCUCUGCUUGUUCUUUACUGGGCAGAUGGGAAAGGGAGUGGGAGAAACCAGGGAGAGUGACAAUAUACUACCGGAGAAUUGGCAAACCGGGCUUAGUUACUCUCGGCUCAGUGAGCCUGUAUGACUGUGGUUCAAGCCCCAUCAUAGAUCUUUGGGUCCAUGUAAUCUGGGUCAGCAUAUUAAAGUAGUAAGGAGGGAAUGCUACCUUGUUGUCUGUGUGAUCUUUCAGGUUACUAAAACAAGUCAUUAUGUGUGUCUGUUAUCUUAAGUGCAGAUUAAAGGUCCUAUGGCAGUAGGAUGGGUAGAGAAGUUGUUCCAGUAUCCUACAACAUUGAGCCCUUUA
Stegostoma tigrinum is the source of this 952-nucleotide long non-coding RNA. RefSeq lists it as uncharacterized. Lineage: Eukaryota; Metazoa; Chordata; Chondrichthyes; Orectolobiformes; Stegostomatidae. The transcript has 3 exons. The record is from RefSeq and is a predicted model, not a curated record.